This 253-nucleotide ribosomal RNA is filed under the name uncultured bacterium. Its description in RNAcentral is "partial 16S ribosomal RNA". It matches the Rfam family "Bacterial small subunit ribosomal RNA", at positions 524 to 776 of the family's 1533-position model. The record is from RNAcentral.
UACGAAGGGGGCUAGCGUUGUUCGGAAUUACUGGGCGUAAAGCGUGUGUAGGCGGUCUCAUAAGUCGGAUGUGAAAGCCCCGGGCUCAACCCGGGAAGUGCAUUCGAAACUGCGAGGCUAGAGUAUCGGAGAGGUUGGUGGAAUUCUCGGUGUAGAGGUGAAAUUCGUAGAUAUCGAGAGGAACACCGGUGGCGAAGGCGGCCAACUGGACGAAUACUGACGCUGAGACACGAAAGCGUGGGGAGCAAACAGG